This 249-nucleotide long non-coding RNA is filed under the name Lathyrus oleraceus (garden pea). RNAcentral describes it as "Pisum sativum (pea) long non-coding RNA (PSAT_LNC017782)". The record is from RNAcentral. Lineage: Eukaryota; Viridiplantae; Streptophyta; Magnoliopsida; Fabales; Fabaceae.
AACAAAUGAUCAUAGGAAACAGAUAACCAAUCAAUGGCCUUACAUCUGACUCCUCACAUAAACAAACAUGCUAUGAAAAGCAAAAAAGCAAGCACAUGGAAUGAUGCAAGUAGAUAUGCAAAAGCAAACAUGAAAGAUGCACAGUUAAGCAAUCAAGCAAUCAGUUAGCACACACUAUACACAAUCAAGAGGCUCAAUCAAGGUUGGGCUUUAAACAAGCCAAUACUGUAUGGGUGUUUUGAGCUCUUA